Molecule: ribosomal RNA, 465 nt
Filed under: Vreelandella stevensii
Lineage: Bacteria; Pseudomonadati; Pseudomonadota; Gammaproteobacteria; Oceanospirillales; Halomonadaceae
Description: partial 16S ribosomal RNA
Rfam family: Bacterial small subunit ribosomal RNA
Source: RNAcentral
CCUACGGGAGGCUGCAGUGGGGAAUAUUGGACAAUGGGGGGAACCCUGAUCCAGCCAUGCCGCGUGUGUGAAGAAGGCCCUCGGGUUGUAAAGCACUUUCAGUGAGGAAGAACGCCUGGUGGUUAAUACCCAUCAGGAAAGACAUCACUCACAGAAGAAGCACCGGCUAACUCCGUGCCAGCAGCCGCGGUAAUACGGAGGGUGCGAGCGUUAAUCGGAAUUACUGGGCGUAAAGCGCGCGUAGGUGGCUUGAUAAGCCGGUUGUGAAAGCCCCGGGCUCAACCUGGGAACGGCAUCCGGAACUGUCAAGCUAGAGUGCAGGAGAGGAAGGUAGAAUUCCCGGUGUAGCGGUGAAAUGCGUAGAGAUCGGGAGGAAUACCAGUGGCGAAGGCGGCCUUCUGGACUAACACUGACACUGAGGUGCGAAAGCGUGGGUAGCAAACAGGAUUAGAUACCCGAGUAGUC